This 314-nucleotide ribosomal RNA is filed under the name uncultured Chloroflexota bacterium. Its description in RNAcentral is "bacterial SSU rRNA". It matches the Rfam family "Bacterial small subunit ribosomal RNA", at positions 28 to 351 of the family's 1533-position model. Lineage: Bacteria; Bacillati; Chloroflexota. The record is from RNAcentral.
GAUGAACGCUGGCGGCGUGCCUAACACAUGCAAGUCGAACGAAGAGGCCCCUUCGGGGUGCUUCAGUGGCGGACGGGUGAGUAACACGUAGGCGACCUGCCCCGAAGCAGGGGAUAACGGCUCGAAAGGGCCGCUAAUACCCAAAAGGAUCGCGUAUCGAAGCGCGAUCAGAGUUACGGCGUUUCGGGAGGGGCCUGCGGCCCAUCAGCUAGUUGGUAGGGUAAUGGCCUACCAAGGCUACGACGGGUAGGGGCCUGAGAGGGUGAUCCCCCACAUUGGCACUGACACACGGGCCAAACUCCUACGGGUGGCUG